AGAAUCAACGCUGGCGGCGUGCCUAAUACAUGCAAGUCGAACGCGAAAGCUCCGCAAGGGGCCGUAGCGUGGCAAACGGGUGAGUAACGCGUGGGCGACCUACCUCAGAGUGGGGGAUAACCUUCCGAAAGGAGGGCUAAUACCGCAUGACAUCCCGUGUUUGGAUACACGGACAUCAAAGCCGGGGAUCGCAAGACCUGGCGCUUGGAGAGGGGCCCGCGUCCGAUUAGCUAGUUGGUGGGUAACGCCCACAAGGCUUCGAUCGGUA
Molecule: ribosomal RNA, 268 nt
Filed under: uncultured bacterium
Lineage: Bacteria
Description: partial small subunit ribosomal RNA
Rfam family: Bacterial small subunit ribosomal RNA
Source: RNAcentral